GAUCUAGUUCAGGAUGAACGCUAGCUACAGGCUUAACACAUGCAAGGUCGAGGGGCAUCAGGGAUCUAGCUUGCUAGAUUUGCUGGCGACCGGCGCACGGGUGAGUAACGCGUAUCCAACCUUCCCUAUAGUAGAGGAUAGCCCGGCGAAAGUCGGAUUAAUACUCUAUGUUGUAUUUAGAGGACAUCUGAAGAAUACCAAAGGUUUACCGCUAUAGGAUGGGGAUGCGUCUGAUUAGGUUGUUGGCGGGGUAACGGCCCACCAAGCCUACGAUCAGUAGGGGUUCUGAGAGGAAGGUCCCCCACAUUGGAACUGAGACACGGUCCAAACUCCUACGGGAGGCAGCAGUGAGGAAUAUUGGUCAAUGGACGAGAGUCUGAACCAGCCAAAGUAGCGUGCAGGAUGACGGCCCUAUGGGUUGUAAACUGCUUUUAUACGGGGAUAAAGUGAGGGACGUGUCCCUUUUUGUAGGUACCGUAUGAAUAAGGACCGGCUAAUUCCGUGCCAGCAGCCGC
This 515-nucleotide ribosomal RNA is filed under the name uncultured bacterium. RNAcentral describes it as "bacterial SSU rRNA". It matches the Rfam family "Bacterial small subunit ribosomal RNA", at positions 15 to 518 of the family's 1533-position model. The record is from RNAcentral.